RNAcentral lists this ribosomal RNA (440 nucleotides) under uncultured bacterium. RNAcentral describes it as "partial 16S ribosomal RNA". It matches the Rfam family "Bacterial small subunit ribosomal RNA", at positions 338 to 795 of the family's 1533-position model. The record is from RNAcentral.
CCUACGUGAGGCUGCAGUGGGGGAUAUUGCACAAUGGGGGAAACCCUGAUGUAGCGACGCCGCGUGUGGGAAGACGGUCCUCUGGAUUGUAAACCACUGUCCCCAGGGACGAAGAUGACGGUACCUGGGGAGGAAGCUCCGGCUAACUACGUGCCAGCAGCCGCGGUAAUACGUAGGGAGCGAGCGUUGUCCGGAAUUACUGGGUGGAAAGGGAGUGUAGGCGGGGAUGCAAGUUGGGGGUCAAAACUACCGGCUCAACUGGUAGUCGCACUCACAACUGCCGCUCGUGAGUGAAGUAGCGGCAGGCUGAAUUCCUCGUGUAGCGGUUAAAUGCGUAGCUAUUAGGAGGCACUCCAGUGGCGAAGGCGGCCUGCUGGGCUUUUACUGACGCUGAGGCUCGAAAGUGUGGGCAGCAAACAGGAUUAGAUACCCCAGUAGUC